Molecule: ribosomal RNA, 47 nt
Filed under: Oxalis articulata f. crassipes
Lineage: Eukaryota; Viridiplantae; Streptophyta; Magnoliopsida; Oxalidales; Oxalidaceae
Description: partial 26S ribosomal RNA
Source: RNAcentral
UGCGACCCCAGGUCAGGAGGGACUACCCACUGAGUUUAAGCAUAUCA